UACAGAGGGUGCGAGCGUUAAUCGGAAUUACUGGGCGUAAAGCGUGCGUAGACGGUUAUUUAAGUCGGGUGUGAAAGCCCCGGGCUCAACCUGGGAAUUGCAUUCGAGACUGAAUAGCUAGGGUACGGUAGAGGGAAGCGGAAUUUCCGGUGUAGCGGUGAAAUGCGUAGAUAUCGGAAGGAACAUCAGUGGCGAAAGCGGCUUCCUGGACCAGUACCGACGUUCAGGCACGAAAGCGUGGGGAGCAAACGGG
RNAcentral lists this ribosomal RNA (253 nucleotides) under uncultured bacterium. Its description in RNAcentral is "partial 16S ribosomal RNA". It matches the Rfam family "Bacterial small subunit ribosomal RNA", at positions 524 to 776 of the family's 1533-position model. The record is from RNAcentral.